GGAAGAAUGACUAAACAAUUUGAUGCUGGGAAACAAGUUUGAAAUAGCUCAGGAGGGAUAGACAAGGAAGGAGAAGAAGAGUUAUAAAUGCUGGACUGGGUCUUACAAGGUCAAGAAAAGGUCUUACAAGGUCAAGAAGAUCAAACUUAUAAAAAUAAAUAAAUUAAAAAAACAAAAGAAAAAAAAUAAAGCUCA
Hibiscus syriacus is the source of this 195-nucleotide long non-coding RNA. RefSeq lists it as uncharacterized. NCBI's taxonomy places the organism in Eukaryota, Viridiplantae, Streptophyta, Magnoliopsida, Malvales, Malvaceae. The record is from RefSeq and is a predicted model, not a curated record. The transcript has 3 exons.